AUUGAACGCUGGCGGCGUGCUUAACACAUGCAAGUCGUGCGGUAACAGGCGUAGCAAUACGUGCUGACGAGCGGCGAACGGGUGCGUAAUACAUGGGAAUCUGCCCUUUAGUGGGGAAUAACCCGGCGAAAGCCGGGCUAAUGCCGCAUAAGAUCUUCGGAUGAAAGCGGGGGAUCGUAAGACCUCGCGCUGAUGGAUGAGCCCAUGUCGGAUUAGCAGUUGGUGAGGUAACGGCUCACCAAGGCGACGAUCCGUAGCUGGUCUGAGAGGACGGCCAGCCACACUGGGACUGAGACACGGCCCAGACUCCUACGGGAGGCAGCAGUGGGGAAUAUUGGACAAUGGGCGAAAGCCUGAUCCAGCGACGCCGCGUGUGUGAAGAAGGCCUGCGGGUUGUAAAGC
RNAcentral lists this ribosomal RNA (402 nucleotides) under uncultured bacterium. RNAcentral describes it as "bacterial SSU rRNA". It matches the Rfam family "Bacterial small subunit ribosomal RNA", at positions 29 to 431 of the family's 1533-position model. The record is from RNAcentral.